GAAAUGUCUUGCAAAGUGCAUGUCCAAGAGUUGGCAAAUAUUGCUAAUUUUUAUUCUGUAAAGCAAGAUUGAGGAACCCUCUGAAUGGAAUUGUUUUGAUUCUAAUGAAAUAAAGUUCGUAAAAAAAAAAAAAAAAAUGAACAUUUAGUCUCCUGUUCAGUAAUCUAAACUAUCGGGUUCUUCGGUGGGGUUUAUCGUCGGUUGGCAUCCGACAUUAUGGUGCUUUGCCGCCACCUACUGUACUGGAGUGUGGGCCAGUGACUGGGAGAAACUAAAUCACACUUUAUGGGUCAAAUUACACACCAUAUGUAUUGAAUUUAGAUCAAAUAAAUUGUAAACAUGAUAAAAGUUACUAAUGUAAACAUUUAAGGAAGAGUGAAAUUUGUUAAUCAAAAACUAAACAAUUGAAAUCAAAAUGUAUUGAAUUGUUAACAUCAAAAGCAAAACUUGCAAACACAAUUUUAAAGUGAGAGCAAAACAGAAAUGAUUUAAAGGUUUUCAGUUGAUCUUUCCCAACAACCAAUCCUAUUGAAUCCAUUUUGCCUACGCUCUUGCGUGCAAUUACUACCUUUUGGUUAUGCUACUCAUAUCUUGGUCCUCGAUUUCUUUGCCUUCACUGCAAGUUUGAUUAAGUUUUGGCUUUUUUUGUGAAGGGUGGUGUUUAGAGGGAGGCGUAGACAAUGCGUCUCCAUUGGUCCACUAGUUUUAGGGGUGAUUCACCUUAACCCAAUCAAUGAACUUUAUAUAUUUUUGUUUUUGGCUACUUAACCGGAUGGUCUGAUGUCACCACUGCAAAUCUUUCUCACUGUGGCCGCAUGUUCUGAACAUGGAGAACCAGUUACUAACACAUGCGCCGAACUUUGGGCAACAGGUGAAGGAGACACGAACCUGCUCUCAGAAUAUCUCUCUCAGACUGAGGAGCAGGCAGACCAACUUCCCAAAUAUGGGAGAAGCACUCAAAACCCACAAGUUGUUCUUUCAAAGAAAAUAAUACAUAAAUGAACACAGAAAAUUAAGAAGGUAGUUCCUGCAAGAGGGUGUUGCGGAUGACAACAGACAAUGGAAAAGCUCAGAGACACAAGCCAGCCAUCUGCCACUGAGAUUCAAGGAGUAAAGCAAUCCAGAAUCAGAACCGGGACCAUGCUACUAUGAGGCUGAACAAGAAUUGUUCCACUGCACCAGGGUACAGAGAGGGAUGAAAGACACCUUUACUCUACAUUUUCACCGAGUCUUCACACCUUCACAUUUCAUCCUGUAAAAUAAAGUAAAUUUUGUGCAUGC
Molecule: long non-coding RNA, 1281 nt
Organism: Salvelinus namaycush (lake trout)
Lineage: Eukaryota; Metazoa; Chordata; Actinopteri; Salmoniformes; Salmonidae
Exons: 4
Source: RefSeq, a predicted model, not a curated record